UUCGUCUUACUUACUUCAAAU
This 21-nucleotide non-coding RNA is filed under the name Caenorhabditis elegans. The record is from RNAcentral. Lineage: Eukaryota; Metazoa; Nematoda; Chromadorea; Rhabditida; Rhabditidae.